CGUGAAGUUGGAAUCGCUAGUAAUCGCGGAUCAGCAUGCCGCGGUGAAUACGUUCCCGGGCCUUGUACACACCGCCCGUCACACCAUGAGAGUCGGGAACACCCGAAGUCCGUAGCCUAACCGCAAGGGGGGCGCGGCCGAAGGUGGGUUCGAUAAUUGGGGUGAAGUCGUAACAAGGUAAC
RNAcentral lists this ribosomal RNA (182 nucleotides) under uncultured bacterium. RNAcentral describes it as "partial 16S ribosomal RNA". It matches the Rfam family "Bacterial small subunit ribosomal RNA", at positions 1319 to 1500 of the family's 1533-position model. The record is from RNAcentral.